UACGGAAGGCAGCAGUGGGGAAUAUUGGACAAUGGGCGCAAGCCUGAUCCAGCCAUACCGCGUGGGUGAAGAAGGCCUUCGGGUUGUAAAGCCCUUUUGUUGGGAAAGAAAUCCAGCUGGCUAAUACCCGGUUGGGAUGACGGUACCCAAAGAAUAAGCACCGGCUAACUUCGUGCCAGCAGCCGCGGUAAUACGAAGGGUGCAAGCGUUACUCGGAAUUACUGGGCGUAAAGCGUGCGUAGGUGGUCGUUUUAAGUCCGUUGUGAAAGCCCUGGGCUCAACCUGGGAACUGCAGUGGAUACUGGACGACUAGAGUGUGGUAGAGGGUAGCGGAAUUCCUGGUGUAGCAGUGAAAUGCGUAGAGAUCAGGAGGAACAUCCAUGGCGAAGGCAGCUACCUGGACCAACACUGACACUGAGGCACGAAAGCGUGGGGAGCAAACAGGGAUUAGAUACC
Molecule: ribosomal RNA, 456 nt
Filed under: uncultured bacterium
Lineage: Bacteria
Description: bacterial SSU rRNA
Rfam family: Bacterial small subunit ribosomal RNA
Source: RNAcentral